RNAcentral lists this long non-coding RNA (474 nucleotides) under Phasianus colchicus (ring-necked pheasant). RNAcentral's name for it is "lncRNA (ENSPCLG00000000704.1)". Lineage: Eukaryota; Metazoa; Chordata; Aves; Galliformes; Phasianidae. The record is from RNAcentral.
AUGAGCAAAGUUGUCAAAGGUGCAGGAAAGCAACUGUGUUUUCAAGUUUUAUCAAUCAAGGACAGCACCACUGGACCCAGAUGUCCUGGCUUGGUAAUUAAUGGCCAUUACUGCUGCUGGAAUAAGCAUGCGUUCCAGGAAAAAUUUCCCAGGCAAAAUCUGUUUAAAGGGAUUUGCUAGCUAUAUAUGAUUGGCACAGUUGAUAGAUACUGUUAGUGUGUCAUUCUAUACAUUUUUAGAGAGAUUUAAACUAUAUAAAUGAUUGUUGGGCAUCAGAAAAAUGUCCUCCAUUAAGACAACAAUAGGAUAUUGAAGUUUUUUUCAUUGUUAUAUCCAAAGACCACGAAAGUCAAUGGGAAUCUUAAGAGACAUUUGGAUCUGGCUUUCCAAGCUUACUUUUUUCCCUGUCUGCUUGGCUGUGAAUUUAACAGAACUGUGUGUUAUUUUCAGUGGGAAGGCUAUCCUUACAGCCAG